RNAcentral lists this long non-coding RNA (442 nucleotides) under Vombatus ursinus (common wombat). Its description in RNAcentral is "lncRNA (ENSVURG00010024875.1)". The record is from RNAcentral. Lineage: Eukaryota; Metazoa; Chordata; Mammalia; Diprotodontia; Vombatidae.
GGCUUGGAUUGGGCGGAUCUCACGGUGGGGGUGGGAAUCGAAGCGUUACUUCCGGGCCGGGGGGGGGGGUCCGGCUUCACCGAUGAGGAGGGGUUUCCGGGUCCGGACCCUACGGGUUCAGUUAGUGGCCGGUACCUCCUUGUCCCCUGUCUGCGGGGCCUCGGAGCGGAGUCUGAGCCCCAGCCCCGCCGCCUCUCGGGUCCGCUCCCCUUUCCCACAGUCUCCAGGCGUGAGGUUAGAGACCCAGGGGCUAGGACUGAGCCCUGGAUACCUAGGACAAACCACCAGAGAUCCUGUUGUCUUUCCCACAAGCAGGAUUUUAAAUGUUACAACCUGGUGUGAGCGCCCAGCAAUAGUGAAGAGAAGAACUGUGGGUCCUGGAAAUGUGGACACAAAGGAAGCUUCUGAAGGGAGAGGGCAUGAGAAGGUGACUGCUCAGUGA